ACAUACUUCUUUAUAUGUCCAUA
Molecule: microRNA, 23 nt
Filed under: Xenopus laevis (African clawed frog)
Lineage: Eukaryota; Metazoa; Chordata; Amphibia; Anura; Pipidae
Also listed under: 1 other name
Description: Xla-Mir-1-P3a_5p* (star (passenger))
Source: RNAcentral